AAAUAAUUAUGGUUUAAUAACUUCACUCUCCUGGCAUGGUGGUCAUUAUGCAGGACUUUGAUGUAUUAUUCUAAGCAAUUGAUUUACUCAGUUUCAUUUUUCAAAGAAAUACUGUGAGACCCACUCAACUGGAUGCCUUCAAGACCUCAAUAAAAUGCUAACAAAAGGAACGUGUAACAAUUCAGGAUGUUAAAUGUAGGGGCAGCAGUAUGUUUGCUACAGGAGAAUGACAGGCUUCCCAUUUACGUUUUAUAUCUCUGCUAAACAGCAAAGAGCUGGAUCGGUUUCUUGCCAAUCUCCUGCUCUACUUUUCUUGCUACUUUGAGAAAAAAGCUCUGGAGAAAAAGACCAAAGUCUCUCAUGGGAGAGGACACGGAGAGGCAGAUGACUGGAGAAACGUGCUAAGGUGAAGCUGGCACAAAAGCAGCCUGCCCUGUGUCACUUCAGGCUGCUGCUGGGGAUAGAUCUGCCUCAACAGCACCAUAUGGCUUUUGACAGGAAGUCAAACCGGCGCCUGGCCCUGAGCAAAAUCAUAACCCAGCAUUCCCCUCUGAUGGCCCCUCUGCUGCCUACUCCACAAGAAGAGGCCUGUCACCUGUUUGGGAGCUUCAGAUGUCUUAAAGUGUCCUCAACUUUACACUUUGAUUCAUAGUAGGGUGUCCAUAUGGUCCGUUCAUAAGGGACACGUCCUUGCCAGGAUUUUAAUAUUGCCUAAAACAUCCAAAGCAGUUUGACCAAUAACAUGCAGGUAUUGUACAUAAUCGACCAAUCGUGUGGCUGCGCAUGAGAAGGUGAGAUCUACAGGGAACGAUCAAAGCAAUGCAAAUAUGCGCACAUGCUUGUUCAUUCGUUUGACUUGAAGUGUCACUGUGCACCGAUCAAAAAAGACACCAAAGUAGGUACGAGAGUGAUUUGAAGCAUAAGGAGCUGUCUGCUCUGCCCUCUAUAGCUCUCAUGAAUGUCACACAAUGAUCGACCUGCACAGUGCAACAGUCAAAACCUGGAUAUUUUAGGUAAUAUUAAAAUCCUGGCCGGGACGUGUCCCGUAUGAACAGUGCAUAUGGCCACCCUAAUUCAGAGGCUCUGAUGGAGUGACUUACAGAAUAGCUAAAGUCAUUUAGUUUUGGAAUUCUUGGAAAGCCUUUGAGCCAAUUCAGCUGAGUGACACUGAAGCUUUAGGGAGGCCAGAGUGAAGAGGAGAUUGAGGACGAGGAAGCUAACAAAACUACCUUUUAGUGUUUGUGUGUUUUACAACAUGCAAAUUUCUUUCAACUAUUAUUUGUUGCCCUGGUUAUUGUCCACUGUGUUUUGCAUGAUCGUUAUUGACUAUAAUCAUAUUUAAUAUUGAAAAAUAACAAUACAUGUCACUAGGUGGCACUUUCCAUGUUCUCAUGGAAGUGAUUAAUGGGAAAAAGAAAUCAUACUGCAAAUCUGGGUAAAUAAAAUGCAUUACAU
Molecule: long non-coding RNA, 1455 nt
Organism: Cyprinus carpio carpio
Lineage: Eukaryota; Metazoa; Chordata; Actinopteri; Cypriniformes; Cyprinidae
Source: Ensembl